ACUCCUACGGAAGGCAGCAGUGGGGAAUCUUGCGCAAUGGGGCGAAAGCCUGACGCAGCGACGCCGCGUGGGUGACGAAGGCCUUCGGGUUGUAAAGCCCUGUGGGGUAGAACGAACUGGCAUCGGGCUAAUAUCCCGGUGUCUUGACGGUACUGCCUUAGCAAGCAUCGGCUAACUCUGUGCCAGCAGCCGCGGUAAUG
Molecule: ribosomal RNA, 200 nt
Filed under: uncultured bacterium
Lineage: Bacteria
Description: partial 16S ribosomal RNA
Rfam family: Bacterial small subunit ribosomal RNA
Source: RNAcentral